This 253-nucleotide ribosomal RNA is filed under the name uncultured bacterium. RNAcentral describes it as "partial 16S ribosomal RNA". It matches the Rfam family "Bacterial small subunit ribosomal RNA", at positions 524 to 776 of the family's 1533-position model. The record is from RNAcentral.
UACGGGGGGGGCAAGCGUUGUUCGGAAUUAUUGGGCGUAAAGCGCGCGUAGGCGGCUACUUAAGUCGGAUGUGAAAGCCCUUGGCUCAACUGAGGAAGUGCACCCGAAACUGAGUGGCUAGAGUACGAAAGAGGGUCGCGGAAUUCCCGGUGUAGAGGUGAAAUUCGUAGAUAUCGGGAGGAACACCGGUGGCGAAGGCGGCGACCUGGGUCGAUACUGACGCUGAUGCGCGAAAGCGUGGGGAGCAAACAGG